Molecule: ribosomal RNA, 275 nt
Filed under: uncultured Pedobacter sp.
Lineage: Bacteria; Pseudomonadati; Bacteroidota; Sphingobacteriia; Sphingobacteriales; Sphingobacteriaceae
Description: partial 16S ribosomal RNA
Rfam family: Bacterial small subunit ribosomal RNA
Source: RNAcentral
CCUACGGGUGGCUGCAGUAAGGAAUAUUGGUCAAUGGAGGCAACUCUGAACCAGCCAUGCCGCGUGCAGGAAGACGGCCCUCUGGGUUGUAAACUGCUUUUAUUCGGGAAUAAACCUACUUACGUGUAAGUAGCUGAAUGUACCGAAGGAAUAAGGAUCGGCUAACUCCGUGCCAGCAGCCGCGGUAAUACGGAGGAUCCAAGCGUUAUCCGGAUUUAUUGGGUUUAAAGGGUGCGUAGGCGGCCUGUUAAGUCAGGGGUGAAAGACGGUAGCUC